Anser brachyrhynchus (Pink-footed goose) is the source of this 2272-nucleotide long non-coding RNA. NCBI's taxonomy places the organism in Eukaryota, Metazoa, Chordata, Aves, Anseriformes, Anatidae. The record is from Ensembl.
ACAGCUCUCCAGGCCACAAGCAGAGCAGUUAUGUUAGACGUAUUCCUUUUUUAUUUCCUCCUAGACUAUCUCUGUCCAGUGGGUCACUAUUGCCCCUCUGGCAGCCCUGAGCCCAUACCAUGUCCCUCUGGGAAAUAUCAGGACCAGGCUGGUAAAAGCCAGUGUGAAACAUGCCCAGCAGGAAUGUUCUGUGCCCUAAAGGACCACCCAGACAAUCUUCAAGAGAACUCCCUUGGGAUAAUCGAACCAACGGACUGUCCAGCAGGAUAUUACUGCCUCUCAGGCACAAAAGCUGCCAAUCAGUACCCGUGCCCAGUGGGGACCUACAGUAACGAGACUGGACUAAGAAAUCAGAGAGACUGCAGACCUUGUCCUGGAGGCAUGUUUUGUGCCAGUGCAGGACUCGUGUCCCCAAGCGGUACUUGUUUGCCUGGGUAUUACUGCACUUCAAAGGCACGUAUACCAAACCCAGUCAGUGAUGAGGCUGGGGGCCUUUGUCCAGCAGGCCAUUACUGCCUGCCAGGCAGCAGCAAGCCAGAGCCAUGUCCCACUGGCACGUUUUUGCCUCUGUCUGGAAUGGUUUACCGUAACGCCUGUCUGCCCUGCCCUGGGGGGAGGUUCUGCCGAGGAGAGGGCCUGACCAGUGUUUCAGGAUUGUGUUAUGCUGGCUAUUUCUGUGAUGCUGGGUCCACACAGCCGGACCAUAAGCAGUGCCCCCCUGGCUCCUACUGUCCUGAAGGCUCUGAAUCCCCAGUCCCUUGCAGCCCUGGGCACUUCAACUCUGACAGUGGAAAAUGGCAGACAAGAGACUGCCAGCUCUGCCCUGCUGGGUAUUUCUGUAGUGGUUCUGGAGCACGUACUCCUGAGCUGUGCCCUGCUGGGUACUUCUGUCUGCCAGGUACCAACUUCAGUGCACAGUAUCCAUGUCCGAAGGGAACGUUUGGCCCCAGGGCUGGUGCCACUAGUAGCUCUGACUGCGAGCCCUGCCCAGCAGGUAAGCAGGGACAUGGCAUGAGGAACUCAGGGGGUACAUGUGGAAAAGCUCAGGAAAAUGUGUCUUCUCCCUUCAUGUUACUGACUCCUCCACCAGUCUUCUGUGCAGGCCAUGUUAUGGAGAUUGCUUUUCUGUUCGUUUUAGGCAUGUAUUGCUCAGCACCGGGUCUUUCCCAGCCUUCUGGAUUGUGCUACUCAGGUUAUCACUGUGCCAGUGGAGCCACCAGCCCAGCGCCCUUCAAACACAGGGUGAGUGAGUGCUGGGCAGCAGCAGAGUAAGGCUAGCUUCCUGGGGACAAGGACUGGACUGUCACAAUCUCAUAGCUUCUAGCGUAACGUUUUCCAAGUAGUACUGCUCUGUAUAGAGUUACUCUUGCCUGCUACUGCUGCCCUUGAGAGCUCCCCAGGUAGCCUAAUGUUCUGCUCUUAACAUCUGCUGGAACAUGUAGCUGCCUGCUAACAACUUCUGGCCAGACCUCCAUUUCUGUAGAUUGUACUGGAGCGUGCAAAGGUCUCUUCCAAAUGAUGACAGCAGUGAUCAGAUAGCCAUGGCUCAGCAGCCAACACUUCCAGCAACCUUUUUAUGCCAGCUGUGGUCUUCAUGUAGUUUCAGGGGCAGAAAGCUUGCAGGACUCAGCUCAUACAUAACCUUUCCAGAACCUAUCCCUGUAGUACUUGGUGCCAAAGUUUGUUUCAGUAAUAUUUUUGCUUUCUUUCUCUGUUUUCUUUUUUUCUUACACAGGUGGAAUCUUCUGGCCUUGGUGUGCCUACUAAUGACAUCUGUCCCGUCGGGCAUUUCUGCCCCACUGGUACAGGUUAUCCCCUGCCCUGUCCUCCUGGAUCCUUCUCUGCUGUCACGGGCCUGGAGGCAGAAGAGCAGUGCCAGCCCUGCCCAGCAGGACGGUAUUGCAGUGGCGCAGGAUUGUUUGAUCUGGCUCAGAUGUCGCUGUGUAACGCAGGGUGCGGUGAGAAAGUCGCUUGUUAGUGGGAAAAUACAGCUGACGGGAUUACUGUAGGUUAAAGCAGUCUCUUGUGUGCAAACAUUUAUACUCAAGAUUAAUUAAACUGCAAAGACUUUGUUCUUAGCCCUCCAGGUUGUCUAUACAGCAUCUGCUUGGUGAUCUCACUAAAUGGCGUCAAAACUAUUCCUUCUCCCUCUACAUUUGCCUCACAUUCUGUCCCAGCCUUAUACAUGGUCUUUUACUGUUUUCCCCUUAGGUUCAGUUUAUUACAAAACCCUUAUUUAGUCUCAUAAUUACACUUGAUGAGCAUUUGACCU